This 468-nucleotide ribosomal RNA is filed under the name uncultured bacterium. Its description in RNAcentral is "partial 16S ribosomal RNA". It matches the Rfam family "Bacterial small subunit ribosomal RNA", at positions 28 to 507 of the family's 1533-position model. The record is from RNAcentral.
GACGAACGCUGGCGGCGUGCUUAACACAUGCAAGUCGAACGGAAAGGCCCUGCUUUUGUGGGGUGCUCGAGUGGCGAACGGGUGAGUAACACGUGAGUAACCUGCCCUUGACUUUGGGAUAACUUCAGGAAACUGGGGCUAAUACCGGAUAGGAGCUCCUGCUGCAUGGUGGGGGUUGGAAAGUUUCGGCGGUUGGGGAUGGAUUCGCGGCUUAUCAGCUUGUUGGUGGGGUAGUGGCUUACCAAGGCUUUGACGGGUAGCCGGCCUGGGAGGGGGACCGGCGACAUGGGGACUGAGAUACGGCCCAGACGCCUACGGGAGGCAGCAGUGGGGAAUAUUGCACAAUGGGCGGAAGCCUGAUGCAGCAGCGCCGCGUGCGGGAUGACGGCCUUCGGGUUGUAAACCGCUUUCGCCUGUAACGAAGCGGGAGUGACGGUAAUGGGUAAGAAAGCACCGGCUAACUACGUG